Molecule: non-coding RNA, 467 nt
Organism: Oryza sativa Japonica Group (Japanese rice)
Lineage: Eukaryota; Viridiplantae; Streptophyta; Magnoliopsida; Poales; Poaceae
Source: RefSeq, a predicted model, not a curated record
AAGAAAAACCCUAGGGCGUCAGCCGGCGUGUCGCUUCUCCUUCUCAUCCUCUCCCUUUCUCGCGACUCUCGCGCUAUCGCACAGCUCUUCGCCACACCGCCGCCGCCGCAACCACAUGUCCAUGCCGCCACACCGCCGCUUGCUAGUCCUAGCCGUCGCAUCCUCGCGCCUCGCCGCGUCCCUUGCCGGAGAAGCAAGAUGGCACCUGCCGGAGGAAAACGCCGCAUCCUAGCUUCUGGAUCCAUCCGACGGCAACAACAGAGACAUGAACAUUGAGUUCGCCACCGUUGCGUUUGCCAGGUCCACCAGAAUCUCAAUCUGCUGCAUCUGGAAGUGCAAGUGGAAGUCAUCAUGUGGGUGUGACUGCAUCAUCAUCCUAUUGUAUGCUGUAGCCACAUUAAUGUUGAAGUAUCGUUGAACUUUGUUUAUAUUGUUUGUCGACCUUAUUGUCAACUUAUUAAUCAUCA